Uranotaenia lowii is the source of this 438-nucleotide long non-coding RNA. RefSeq lists it as uncharacterized. The record is from RefSeq and is a predicted model, not a curated record. NCBI's taxonomy places the organism in Eukaryota, Metazoa, Arthropoda, Insecta, Diptera, Culicidae. The transcript is spliced from 3 exons.
AAUUGAGCAGUAAGCUAAGGAUAAACAGGAAUUUAUCUAAGUGGAAAAUAGUAAAUUUUCAAAAGCCAUCUUGUUAUACUGCAUCAUGUGCGAAAAGUUUGUGCUCGUUAGAAACCAUGAUCAAAUCCAUUAUUCAUGAUCGAAAAAUCAGAGAAAAACGAUUUCUGAAAAUCGAGGAAGGUACAUUUAUUUGGCCUUUUGUUAUAGCCCUAUUCGGCAAGCUUCGUGGACAAUAUUUUGUUUGUUACAGCCAUCUUGAAUUGCCACGGCAAUCGGAAAUUUAUUGCGUGUUAGUGAUAAUCAGAAAAGUAAAAAUUCAAGAAUCAACGUAGAACCAUGAAAAGAAUGAUGGUAUAGCCAAUCGUUGGAAAAAAGUUCAACAGAAGUGUUGAUAAGAUAACGAAACCCUAAAAUGAAAUUUAUUAUUUGGUGUUUAAU